AUGGAUUCUUGGGAGCCCAAGAUGCCUUCUUGGGACCUCGGCACGGUGGUCGCGCCCAGCAGCGGAGGAGGAGGCGGCGGCGGCGCGCUGGACCUGAAGCUCGGCGCGCCGACGAGCUGGAGGCCGGUCCCGGCGGGGGCGGCCGCUGCGGUGGUAUCGGUGCAGCAGCAGCAGCCGCCUUCCGCGGCGCCGGCGAAGCGGGCCCGGGCGGGGCAGGGGCAGCAGACGGUGCCGCCGUGCUCCGUGGAGGGGUGCACGGCCGACCUGUCCCGCUGCCGCGAGUACCACCGCCGGCACAAGGUCUGCGAGGCGCACUCCAAGACGCCCGUCGUCGCCGUCGCCGGCCAGCAGCAGCGCUUCUGCCAGCAGUGCAGCAGGUUCCAUUUGCUCGGGGAGUUCGACGAGGUGAAGAGGAGCUGCAGGAAGCGCCUCGACGGCCACAACCGCCGCCGCCGGAAGCCGCAGCCGGAUCCCCUCAACCCUGCCGGCUUGUUCGCUAAUCACCAUGGAGUGACAAGAUUCGCGUCGUACCCGCAAAUCUUCUCCCCGACGUCCAUGGCGGAGCCCAAGUGGCCCGGCGGCAUCGCCGUGAAGACGGAGGCCGACGCGUUCCACGAGCAGUACUACUCCUUCAGCGGCGCCGCCUCCCUCUUCCACCACGGCAAGCCGGAGAGGAAGCACUUCCCCUUCCUGACGGACGGCGGCGGCGAGGCCACGUUCGGCUGCCAGCCGCCGGCGUUCACCAUCACGCCUUCCUCGGAGAGCAGCAGCAACAGCAGCCGGCACAGCAACGGCAAGACCACCAUGUUCGCCCACGACGGGGGCCCGGACCACAACUGUGCUCUCUCUCUUCUGUCAGACAACCCGGCGUCGGCGCACAUCAUGGUCCCCGCGGAGGCGCAUCAUCUCGGCGGCGGCGGCGUGACGAUACAGUACGGCGGUGGCGGCGGCGGCGGCGGUAAGGUGGCGCGGCUGUCCAGCAACGGCGACGUCUCGCUCACCGGGCUGUCUUACGUGAGCCUGGGAGACAAGGGCGCGCCCAUGUUGCACGCGUCUAACAGAUCGCAGCACGCCGCUGCUACCGCUGCCACUGCCGUUGCUACCAGCACAGCGGCGGCUCCGGCGGCAUCCCAGCUCCAGCAGCAGUACCAUGGAUACUACCACCACCAACACCAAGUGAGCGCUGAUCAGGGGAGCCACCCGGAUGCAGGUGGGAUGCAUGCCCUACCCUUCUCGUCAUGGUAG
Molecule: ribosomal RNA, 1245 nt
Filed under: Triticum aestivum (bread wheat)
Lineage: Eukaryota; Viridiplantae; Streptophyta; Magnoliopsida; Poales; Poaceae
Description: partial small subunit ribosomal RNA
Source: RNAcentral